RNAcentral lists this transfer RNA (66 nucleotides) under Sinoxylon sp. SIN01. RNAcentral describes it as "tRNA-Trp". The record is from RNAcentral. Lineage: Eukaryota; Metazoa; Arthropoda; Insecta; Coleoptera; Bostrichidae.
AAGGAUUUAAGUUAAGUGUAAACCCCAUAGCCUUCAAAGCUAUAAAUAGAGUCUCUCUAAGCCUUA